GAUGAACGCUAGCGGCAGGCUUAAUACAUGCAAGUCGAACGGUAACAUGAGUAGCAAUACUUGAUGACGAGUGGCGCACGGGUGCGUAACGCGUAUGCAAUCUACCUUUAACUGGUGAAUAGCCCGAAGAAAUUCGGAUUAACACACCAUAGUAUAUUAGAGUGGCAUCACUUUGAUAUUAAAACUCCGGUGGUUAAAGAUGAGCAUGCGUGACAUUAGCUAGUUGGUGAGGUAAUGGCUCACCAAGGCAACGAUGUCUAGGGGAUCUGAGAGGAUUAACCCCCACACUGGUACUGAGACACGGACCAGACUCCUACGGGAGGCAG
Molecule: ribosomal RNA, 326 nt
Filed under: uncultured Bacteroidota bacterium
Lineage: Bacteria; Pseudomonadati; Bacteroidota
Description: bacterial SSU rRNA
Rfam family: Bacterial small subunit ribosomal RNA
Source: RNAcentral